Maylandia zebra (zebra mbuna) is the source of this 399-nucleotide long non-coding RNA. RefSeq lists it as uncharacterized. The record is from RefSeq and is a predicted model, not a curated record. Lineage: Eukaryota; Metazoa; Chordata; Actinopteri; Cichliformes; Cichlidae.
GUCCUUUCUCCCUGGGUGCUCCCGGAUGUUUUGGGGUCGCUGAGGGGACUGCGACCCGGAAGUGUUCCCGCACUGGGGACUGCCGCACCUGCCGCCCAUUAGCCCUCACCAGCUGCAGCUGAUGGCUUCAUGAGGGGCGCCUUAUUCAAGAAGGUGGCGGAGCCCCAGUCGGCGCGGGAUUAUACUAAGUCGAACCUGAGUCGGGAGUCAGGAACGUCGUCACGAGGGGAAAUCACAGAGUGGAAUCGGGUUUUUGGAGUUGUCACCUUUUCACUGCUAUGGACACGUGCACUGUGUGGGAUUCUUGGAGGAAUCGCCACAGGAGUCACAGUGCUUGAAUUGUAUAUAGUUGUCGUUUCUGUCCACUCGCCAUAAAUAAAUCCACUGUCCUUCACUUGA